ACGAACGCUGGCGGCGUGCCUAAUACAUGCAAGUCGAGCGAAGUUUUUCUGGUGCUUGCACUAGAAAAACUUAGCGGCGAACGGGUGAGUAACACGUAAAGAACCUGCCUCAUAGACUGGGACAACUAUUGGAAACGAUAGCUAAUACCGGAUAACAGCAUUAACUGCAUGGUUGAUGUUUAAAAGUUGGUUUUGCUAACACUAUGAGAUGGCUUUGCGGUGCAUUAGCUAGUUGGUGGGGUAAAGGCCUACCAAGGCGACGAUGCAUAGCCGACCUGAGAGGGUGAUCGGCCACACUGGGACUGAGACACGGCCCAGACUCCUACGGGAGGCAGCAGUAGGGAAUCUUCCGCAAUGGGCGAAAGCCUGGCGGAGCAACGCCGCGUGAGUGAAGAAGGAUUUCGGUUCGUAAAGCUCUGUUGUUAGGGAAGAAUGAUUGUGCAGUAACUAUACACAGUAGAGACGGUACCUAACCAGAAAGCCACGGCUAACUACGUG
Molecule: ribosomal RNA, 498 nt
Filed under: uncultured bacterium
Lineage: Bacteria
Description: partial 16S ribosomal RNA
Rfam family: Bacterial small subunit ribosomal RNA
Source: RNAcentral